RNAcentral lists this ribosomal RNA (453 nucleotides) under uncultured Prevotellaceae bacterium. RNAcentral's name for it is "bacterial SSU rRNA". It matches the Rfam family "Bacterial small subunit ribosomal RNA", at positions 341 to 792 of the family's 1533-position model. The record is from RNAcentral. Lineage: Bacteria; Pseudomonadati; Bacteroidota; Bacteroidia; Bacteroidales; Prevotellaceae.
ACGGGAGGCAUCAGUGAGGGAUAUUGGUCAAUGGGCGCAAGCCUGAACCAGCCAAGUAGCGUGAGGGAUGACUGCCCUACGGGUUGUAAACCUCUUUUGUUUGGGAAUAAAGGAGCCUACGCGUAGGCUUUUGCAUGUACCUUUCGAAUAAGCAUCGGCUAAUUCCGUGCCAGCAGCCGCGGUAAUACGGAAGAUGCGAGCGUUAUCCGGAUUUAUUGGGUUUAAAGGGAGCGUAGGCGGUCCUUUAAGUCAGCGGUCAAAUGUCAGCGCCCAACGCUGGCCUGCCGUUGAUACCGGAGGACUUGAAUACACACAAGGAAGGUGGAAUUCGUCGUGUAGCGGUGAAAUGCUUAGAUAUGACGAAGAACUCCGAUUGCGAAGGCAGCCUUCUGGAGUGCGAUUGACGCUGAGGCUCGAAAGCGCGGGUAUCAAACAGGAUUAGAUACCCUGGUA